RNAcentral lists this long non-coding RNA (14028 nucleotides) under Homo sapiens (human). Its description in RNAcentral is "HSALNT0390829". The record is from RNAcentral. Lineage: Eukaryota; Metazoa; Chordata; Mammalia; Primates; Hominidae.
AGAGACUCAUUCAGAGAGCAAGACUCUGGUCUCUGCCCUGCUUCAGCACCCAAAUCUUUAGGGAGCUGGCUGGUGGGCUGCCAGGCAGUUAGGCCUAUGGAGAGCUGCUGUCAGUCUCUCUAGGAGGCCAUGGUUUCCUGCAUGUGGGGGAGAGCCCCAUCCCCCAGACUCUGGAGUGAGUUUAAUUUCCCAAGGCAAGUCUGCCUGAUUGUCCUCUCCUUUCCUUACCUUCAGCACCAAGAAGUUUCCGGUCCCGGUACAGAUCAGUGAGGAAGAGGCUAUUGACAAGUGUGGAUUUGCCCAGGCCAGACUCUCCUGAGAGGAGAGAGGACAGAGGCACCAAAUCAGAAGGUAAGAUCUAUAGCCAAAAAGCAACUCCACUGGAUCAAGGUUUAGGGGGGACUGCUUUCUUAUCUAAUUGGAACUAGACUAACCAAACUAUAGCAUUUUAGAGCUGGGAGGAAGCACAGAGAUUGGCUUGGGGGAGCAAGAGAUUGCCCAGGGUCACACAAAAAGAGGCAAAUGCUAGGAAACUGUUGGUCAGAUGCUCUUUGCAACCAAUUCGAACCCCCACCCCCACCCCACCCCACAUACAUACACUCUCACAGGCCAAUGACUCCUGGCUGUUUUGCAAAACAGUACAGCCACUCGCUGCUUGCUCCCUGCGACCUAUACUCCCUUCCCACUCACGGACACACACACCAUCCCCACCUGAAACACACCCUGCCCAACCCAGCCCUGCCCCUUUUUUACCUGCCACCAUGAGGGUAAAGUCAAAGCCUUUCUUCACGGACUUUCGGUGGACUUGGUUGGGGAGGGUUGCAAAGCCCACAUACUCCUUGUCAUCCUAGUAGACAGGAAGGCAGAAUGCAUCACGGUGAGGAGCCAAAGGGGCCCCGGCACCCAGCGCCAAUCUUCUCUCCCUUUCAGGCCUUUGCCCCAGCCUUAAAAAAGCAGUGCCAGACUUCUGUGAGUUCCCAUCUGAGGCCACCAGCUGGGCCUCCUGCCCUUGCUGAAACUGCAAAUUUCCAGUGCCCUUGGGGGCAGAUAUCUUGGAGCUAGGGCUGACACAGGACUGAAAUAGGUCCCAGAUACACACACACACAAACACACACACACACACACACACACACACACACACACACACUCUGCUCCCUGCCCCCGGUCUUCCUGCAGCAGCCCACUGAAAGGCAAAGGCAGGGCUGGAGGCUCUACCUCAGAGGAAUCAUAGGGAUCAAGCUUGCCCCAUGGGCUGCGGGGCCUGGCAGAUGGGCUGAGAGGGGCUGGGGCACAGAAGUACUGCUGGUUGUCAGAGGACUGGGGCCGCGAGGGGGGUCUGAACUCCAGGUCAUCAUCAUAGAGGUCCGGGGCCUGGGGCCUUGGCUCCGGGACUUGGGGCCUGGAUGCCCAGGUCUUAGCCUCUGGUGGGUGGCAGCUCGCAUUUCCUGAGAAAUCCUUCACGAACUUAAUGUUCAGUUGUGAAUGGCCCUUCCUUGCCUCCCAGCGAGGCUGGGGAGAGAAAGCACUCCCAGAUGAUAGAUACCUUAAGCUGCUUUGAACCUGAGAAGAGAAGGUGCAUCCCAAGUCACAGGAUGGUCAUUAAUGUUGGCCUGUCAUUCUUUUCACAUGUAAAUUUAAACCCCCUGGCAUAGCUGGGUUGGGGGGGUCUCCCCCACUGAUUCCCAAAGCAGCUAGGACACUGACCUCCUUUGACAAAGAGACCCUCAUAGAGGAGUCUGAUCUGAACCAGUCAGCCUAAGAACUUGGCUGGCUUGAGGGCAGGGGCCUGAGGAUGGGGACUUUGGUGAUGGUGGUUGGGGUGGAGGGGGGUGUGUCUUUAAUUAGAGAAGAACAGUGUGGCCUCGGACAAGCCGAAAGCACCAAGACCUCAGCUGAACUGAAGUUAGUGUGUGGCAGAAAAAGCCCCUCUAGCCCCUGCUGGGCUUGGCACUGGGGACAAUCAGUGCUUCCCUAGGCUUCCAUCCCUAGAACAAUCAGUCCAUCCAUCCACCAUGUGGGGAGAAGUGGGGGAAAGGAAUAAGGACAGGCCUCUCUCAGGAACCCCCGUUGGGGGAAGGUCACAGGGUCACCAAGACUUCCUGGCCAAGGCUUGGGCCUCUGCCUGGACACAGCUUGAGAGACAAGAGCCCAAAAGGUUGGCCCUACCAAACCUGAAAGCUUCUGAUCCCAGGGGGCCCAGGGAGCUCCCUUCUGGAGGCUGCCCACAGCCAACAUCCCGCCCCACAGGCUGGUCAGUGAUCCCCCCCUGCUGUAAACAGUUUGUGUCCCCCAAUGCAGAGGGCAAAGGCUGUGGGGCUUCCAGACUGAGAGGAGAGGACGGUGUGUGGCCUAGAGGUCCUGACACCCUUACGUUAUUUGUGGCAGGCUCUGGCAACAAUGUCAGGAGAAGAGAUUACAUCUUCAGAGCCAAGCAUCAAAAACUUCCUACCUGGGCACCUCCAGGGAGGCUGGCUGGGGUUACUGUUUCUCUUCCCACUACAGGCAGGUGGCAGGGAUGGGUGCCCCCACCCCCACACACUGCAGAGGGACCUGGCUGGUGGGGAGGGAGCGGGUAGAUGCAGCAGGAGGAAGCUUUCCCAUGGUUCCUGUCCCAGGGGCAGAAGGAUAUAGCUAAUCCCACCGGGCAGGAUGGUGGGCUGGGCCUCCCCCUCUCUGGGGUCCCUUUGGGAAAGGGCCAGGGACUGCCCCUUGUCAGGCUGAGGGAAGGAGGGGCCAAGCGUCUUACCAUCCCUCCUGGUGAGGCAGGCAGUGUUUGUGGGCCUCCUCUGCGUUUUCCAAAUGAAGUUGGUACUGGCCCCUGUGCCCAGGGUAGGUGGGUGAGGAGGGGUUACUCAGGUAAAAGCUGACCCAGGCGAGGAUGGGGACCCUCACCUCCGCUUAUUACUGAUGCGCCUUCCCCAGCCCAACAAGCGCGUCUCCACCAGCGGGCACCUCCCUCAGCACGGACCCACCCCUUCGUCCUAGAGCGCAGGCAUCACCCAGGGGUUGGCGCCCACUCCGUGGCUGCUCAGAGGGAAAAACUUGGGAGCAGCGACGCACCGCCGCCCGGCAGCAGUGCCAGCCUGUGCCCGGGGCCGGCGACGGCGCCUCCCACCCUGCACAGCCGCGGCUGCGGUGCCGCGGGUCCCCUUGCAGCCGCCCGGGAGCGACCGGCCCUGCGCACCCCAGCCCUGCCCCGCGCCCGCCCGCCUGCCUGCCUGCCUUACCAUGGCUGCAGCCCGGGCGGGGCCGGCUCCGCCUGGACAGCGCCCGAGCGACCCGCGGCGGAGCUGCGCGCCGACCUCGCAGCACCGCCGUCACCCUCCCGCCUCCCCGAGUGCGGACCGCUGCGGGAGGGGCCCGGCGGCGGGGGCGGAGCGAGUCGGCCCCGGGGCGGGGCCUGUACCUCAGCUGCUAGCGGUGCCGGCGCGAAGUGGGUCGGGGUGCCCAGCUGGGGGCCGGCCUCGCAGCCCGCGACCCCCGGAUGCGCAGAGUAUGCAGAGUCACCCAGGACAGAGCGGGGAGCCUCAGCUCCUCGUCCCCGGGCUGCACUGGACACCUGGCUCUUUUUUACUCAGCUCCAGAAGCACCGCGGGGGCUUGAGCCAGUUCCCAAAGAAAAAGGAACGGCCCACCUGACAUCCCCAGAAGGAGACGCCUUUGGAAGGGAGGGGGAGUUGCUGCAUGAGUUGGAGAGAAACCAUUAGUUACCGCAGGGAUUCAACAAGGUUUUCACAAAGUGAAUCCGGCUGAUGCCCAAGUUACUGAUCACUACACCUCCUAAAGGGGAAUGUCAGAUAUUCUCCACCUCCACCCGAGCUGUGAAGGGGCAGGUUAGAGGCAGGUUCCCUUCAUGCAGUACCCCAGAUUACAGAUUAAAGAGGAUUUGCUGCACAAAUUAUCCAGGGAUCAUCUGCUGGAAGGAUAGAAGGGAGAGGCUGAGUGGCUUUAACAGGGCGGUGUAGCCUUGCCUGUGGCUGAGGACAGUGGGGAGGGCCUCAGGAGAGGCCAACCCAGGCGUGACCCAGGCCCAGCUGGGCCACUCUUCCUCUGACAAGCAGGUGAGAUGCCGAGGGGACAGAUGCCCCAGAAGCUUUAGAGGCAUUAGAGGCUCAGAAAGGUCAGAGCAGCAGCUAGGGGAAGGCAGAUGCUUGGUGAGUGGGGUGUUGGUGAGGGAUUCCCUGAGCUAAGUAGGGUCUGAGCUGGUCAGGCUCCUGUGGAAGUUUCCAGAAGCAUGUCCCUUCCUGACCCGCAAGACCCCUCUCUCAAUGGCAGGCUGACUGGCUUCUGCCUGAAUACACUCUGGACAAAACUGAGACCCACAGGCACGGCCCUCUCUGUUGGUAGAAGUGCCAGAGGCCUGCCUGCUGUAUUUCAGUCUGACCUGUGAACCAGUAGCACUGGUUGGGACCAGUCAGAACUCAGCCAGGGGAGGGAAGAGGGCCUGGGGCAGCAGGUAAGAUCAGGCUGAGAAAAACAAUGGGGCUGCUACUGGAGAUGUUAUUGGCUGUUUGGCACUGGUGGACUGGAAGAUGGCAGGGUGUUCAUGAGCCAGCCGGUUGAGGAGAAACCUUCCUAGCUGGGUGGCCUUGAGCAACUUACUUCACCUGUCAGGGUCUCAAUUUCCAUACCUGAAAAUGAGGGGAUUAAACUAGAUGAUUUCUAAGCUUCCUUACAGCUCUGGCCUUCUAAAAGUGGAUGCAGUGGGGGAAGGAGGAUAUGCUGUAUGCUACUAUAGGCCUUGGAGGAAGAUAAGAGAACAAGGCAGCAGCAGGAGGUGCUGGAGAAAGGUUGGACAUGCAGUGAUUCAGGAGAGGGCCCAGGAUCUGAGUGAAGGGGGAGGACGUGUAGGAUGGGGGCAGCAGCUUGGGUUCCCUGAAAGGGAACCUCUAAAGGUACAGAGAGGCUCCCGGAAAAGACCUGGGGUAGAUCAGGGGAUCGGAAGCUGUACUCAGGAAAACAAAGACAUAAAGAGAGAAACCAAUGGCAGUUGGAAGUCUGCAGAAGCAGCAGCUGCUGCUACCAUCAGCCCCAAAUGUCAAGCUUGGACUAUACAAAGCCCCACUGUUCAAAGCCCUGGGCCUCCAAUACUCAUGUAUGCACUCUAAGAAUACCUCUUGCGUGCUUCCAGAGUCCUGUGGCCUAGGGUAAGGAGAAAGCCUACAUCAGGGAAGACAGGCCCCAGCAGAAACCCUUGUUUUCCUCUAUUAUAACAUGCCCCUCCCCGUGGCCUCAGCUGAAUUCCAAGUGUGGACACAGACACAUUUCAAAAGGCAGCCCAACCAGCUCAUCCUCAGCUGUGGCUGGAAUCCCAGCUCUUCUCUGGCACCUGCUGCCCAGGCAGCAGGUUGGUACCAGCUUGCCUUGAGGAAAGUGAGGCCCCAAGCAAGUCCUGGGACCACGGAACUUAGCUCUAAGCCAAGAAUAUUGGGGUCUAAUCUCUUUCUAAUCACUGUACCACAGGCCUAACAUGAGGCAUGCUGGGUGAAAUAAAAGCUGAAGACUGACUUUGAGCCAUCCCACCUGCACAAGCCCUGCAUGCUAACCUACUGCAGCAUUCGGAGAGCUCUGAGAGAACUUGGCCUGGGCACAAGUCCCAUGCCAACUUGGCUAUUAUCUCACUGCCUGAAAGUCCCUUGCCCUCUCUGGGCCUCUGUUUCCCCCACUGAAAGAGAAGACUGGACUUCUCCCAAGUCUAGCUCUUACAUUCUGUGUGAUGGAGGCAGGGUCUAAUACCUGCAGGGCCAAGAUACAGCAGCCCUUGCGUCAGUCACUGGGGAUUUACCGAGUGCUCUUCCUCAUCUCCAGCCAGCAGGUGGCCUGGCCAACUCUGCUUCAGCAUGGCUUAACUCUUGGAGCGCUAGUUCUCCCUCAAAAUUCAACAUCCCACCAGGCAUUGAUGGCCUUGACUACAGUACAACUCCCCAGGCACUGCUAGGGCAUGGUAUCUGAGCCAAGUGUCUAGGGGAGUGUCUAGCUGGGAAACUCAGCUCAGCCACCAUAGCUCUAGCCUGCUGUCUUGGGCUCCGUUGCUUAGGUCAGGCCAACAUGAUAUGUCCUGGCCCCCUCCACUAGGUCUUUCCUGCCCACCCAUAGGUGCAGGUUGUAUGGCACAGGACCUAAGCAAGGAGGCUGCAUGUGGGCCAUCCCAGGGCCCAGGUUCAAAGCCGAUAAUAAAGAGCAAUUACCACAGGAAAUCAGGAUUUCAGAUCUGCAUGACUAGCAAUGGCCACUUCUGCCUUUCAGUAGCUAAGUUUCCCUAAAGUGGCGCAAGAACUAAUUGUACAUCCCUUCCCCAGUGAGAUAGAUGAGUCACUGACGAUACAGUCAGAGAGUCCUUGGACCAAAGGCUAUCACUGGGUUGUGUCUUUCAAGGAAACCUCAGCAAGUCUGUCCAACAAGGUCUGUGGUGGACAAAGGCAAUAAACCAAAAUACAUUAAGCCCAAAUCUUCCCCCAGCUGCUGCCAUGUGUCCCAUGAUCCUGGGGGCAGGCAUAAGGUGUGGGUGGCAAGGCUGGGGAACACUGUGUUUCCUGGCACCUGCUGAAUGGCUGCAAAGAGGGGCAGUUCCAGAGCUGGCAGGGUGCUAGAAGCCAGCCACUCUGAUAGGGCAGACAGUCCUUCCAACACCCUCCGUGAACAGGGCAGGGCCAUAGGAGCUCAGGGUUGGAAAGGACUUACAAACCUCCUAAUGUGACUACUCACCAGAUGUCUGAAGGCUCCCCUGCCUUCCCAGCCUCUGCUCGAAUACAUACCUCCGAUGGCCAAAAAUUCACUGAUUCUAACAACUGCCCUUCAACCUUUGGGCUGCCAAGUUACCAAAGUCUUCACUAUACUGAGCCAAAAUCUGUCUUUCCCUGGCUUUUACCCUCCAUAUGCCUCCAUGCUGGAAGCUUUGCUGACUCAUUUCAUUGGACUUUGCUUUGUCCUUUGAUGUCCACACCCUUUCAAGUGACCCAUCUGUAUACUUUUCUCUACCAAAUUCACCACAAGCUCCUCAAGGGCAGGGACUAUGUCUUUUCUUUUAACCUCUGCUCACUUCAAAUCAGCAAACAUGUGAUGUGAUGUUUUUCUGGGUGUCCAGGCCUCUGCCCCCAGGAGAUGGCUGAUCAAUAUGGAUUGACUAAAAGGACUCAUUGAUUAGUUUUCCAUUCUGAUUUUAGAGCCCAGACAAGCCUUGAGGCUCUGCGCUUCAUUGACCCUUCACUUGCCCUUCAUCCUGGCUGCUCACAAGCUCACACCCACCUCCCAGCCCCGUGGUUCACAUACAAAGACACAGAUGUUACUCUCACUAAAACCUUUCCCUUCACAAUUCUUGAUAUCUAAAGGUGCUGCUGAAAUAUUGAGAAGUAUUUUCCAGGGAGACGUGGCUAUAGAAGAAGGGUUUCUAUACCAUAUAGUUGACUCCCUGGGACAGACUGCUCCUUAAAAUGCUUCCAGCUUUGAUGAACAAACUCUGAGCCUCAAUUUCUUCAUCUGUGAAAUAGGGAGAAUAAAUCCACUCAUAGGUUACUAUGAAAACCCACUAAUGCACUUAACAUGAUCACUAAAUGAAUGGUAGCUAUUAUCUCCAUUAAUAAGAAAAUUAUCAACAUCAAACCAGUAACUGUCAACUGUGACUAUUUCAAAUGCCUUCCCUCCAAAGGAUUUGGAGUGUGCAUGUGUAAUAGGUGUAGAGAGAUGGGAGGACAGAGAAUACCAGAGUAAUGCCUUAGAUUAAAUUGACAUUGGAAUGACCAAGCCGCCACCACCUGUGGAGUCAGCUUCUCCAGCUAGACACCAUCUCUAGAAAGCUGGUGCUUGGUCUCAGACCUACCGACCCAAAUUCCCAGAAACAGCCACUGUGGAGACCUCUGGAACUAGAUGACUUUGCCGGCAGUGGGUGUGCCAAGGAAGCGACACCCACAGUGUCAGCCUGAGCUUCCCUCAGGAACUGCCUCACAUUCUGUCCCCCUCCUCCAGGCUUCAUUCAGCCCCCAAGGUGCAGCUGUCUCCUGCUGCUCCCCUAACAGCAGCUGAGCCAAAGGCAGCUGAGCAGAGGAGGGUGAGGGGACAUGGCCAUUUCUGCCUCUCAGGACAGCCUUCCUCUGGCUGAGCACCUGUCAGGGUGGCUCCUGGGUUACAGAUUUACUUCCUCACCCAAGUAUGCACCCUGGCCUCUGAAGCCAAGCUCCCUAAUCUACCCAGGCCCACUGUUUCUGUUACUUGGAAAAUCCACCAUUUCAAACAGCACCAAACUACUCUGCAGAAAGAUGUGAUGUUGGAGAUGGGUUUCAGUCACCACACACCUUCUGAAAAUACACCAAAAAGUCCACAAUGGAUGUGGCAGAUUCUUCCCUAUGUGGGACUAUUCUGGGCAAAACAAAGAACUAAGGGAGUCUGGCCUCAGCUCUGCUAUCAAGUCUGAGAGAAAAGCAUUGUAUAUUCCUGCCCCCAUUUUAUAGGCAGAGGGAGUAACCUGCCCAGGUCUCACUGUGAAGCCAGGACAUUGUUCCCUCUGUGCUUCCAGGCAGACUGCACCACAGCUUGUAUUAGGUGACCACCUGUCCUGGUCUGCCCAGGAUUGAGGGGGUUCUUGAGACAUGUGACUUUCAGUGCUAAAACCAGCAAAGUCCCAGGCAAACCCUGAUGAGUUGGUCAACUUACCCUGUCCCCAGGUUAGCAAGUCUUAGCCAGAGGCCACCAGCCUUCCAUCCUGCUCUGGAAUUGGCUGCCCAUGGUAGCUGGAAAUGAACAGGGUGCCAUCUGACAGGGUAAGAUGCUUGCUUCCUAAGAAGCUGUGCAACAAUGGUCAAACUGCUAUAAAAAUCCUCCCAAGGCCGGGCGUGGUGACUCAUGCCUGUAAUCCCAGCACUUUGGGAGGCUGAGGUGGGUGGAUCACAAGGUCAGGAGUUCGAGACCAGCCUGACCAACUUGGUGAAACCUCGUCUCCACUAAAAAUACAAAAACUAGCUGGGCGUGGUGGCGGGUGCCUGUAAUCCCAGCUACUCAGGAGGCUGAGGCAGGAGAAUCACUUGAACCCAGAAGGCAGAGGUUGCAGUGAGCCGAGAUCGCGCCAUUGCACUCCAGCCUGGGUGACAGAGCGAGACUCUGUCUCAAAAAAAAAAAAAAAAAAAGCCUCCUGAGAUGCCCUGCCCCGUUUUCAGCAGUUCUGCUCCAUUCUUUCAACAAUUCUUUCUUCUCAACUACGAGCCUCUGCCCAAAGCAAGAGAAAUGCCGGGUGCAGUGGUUGGUGCCCAUAGUCCCAACUACUCAGGAGGCUGAGGCAGAAGGAUCACUUGAGCCCAGGAAUUCGAGAUUACAGUGAGCUAUGGAUUGCACCACUGCACUCCAACCUGGGCAACAGAACACUUUAAAAAAAAGCGAGGGAGGGUUCCUUUCACAUAGCCCAUGACCUAGGAUUCUGUGAACAUCCUCAUGAAUGUGGAAACUCCCUGAGUUCCUCAGAGGCUUUGGAUUUCGCUUUGUAAAGGAAGCCAACCUGAGCAAAAUGUCCCUGUGAUUCAAAAGCCAACAGGAGGCUGAUCAUCCCAUCCCUUCAGGGUCACAUGACAUGUCAUCCAAAAGACACUGAGGUCUGCCUUAAGUAUCAGUGAGAUGGCCUCCUCUGAUUCCUGGCCUAUUUUCCAGAGUUGGUUUCUUGCAUAAUUGAUAGAGCAGAGAGUAAACCACCUUGCCCUAUGACAGCCUGAGAAGUCACAUUUAAGGAUGAGUAGGUCAGAUGCCUUGAGGACACAGGAUCUUGGGGCUAACACACCCUGUCCAUCAAAGGCAUUGCAGCCCCUCCCAUCAGAACUGCUUUAUUUCCAGGAAAUCCCCAGGGCUAUGUGAGAAGGCAGCCCCCAGUGACCCAUUAGGGCACCCUCAGGACCUUCCUGUUGAGCUUUUGCUAGUUCUGAUCCCCAAAAAAAACCCAUCAGGAAUGCUUCCCUUAGUCCAGCAUAACCUCCUCUGGGGAGACUCCUGCCCCUAAUGUCCCAAUCCAAGGAUGAGAAGCAUCUGUCCACCCCAUUCCUUAGACAAAAGGGCUUUGAGGGGCCAUUUGGGAAGGGACUGACACUUAAAGAGAUGGGCUGAAUCAGGCCCCAUCCCCAGCUGUUCACCCAGAGAGGCUUGUGAAGCUCAACAACAAACAUGAUGCCUUCCACAAGCCAGGCAUCGUGGCCAGGCCACCAGAGAAUUCCUGCCAGGAAUGGAAUCUGGAACAGACUCUAUGGUCAACCAUUCCCAGAUCAGAGGAAUCAGAGGCCUUGGACACCAGCACCACAGCGUCUCCAUCCUGAGGCUGCAUGGGGCCAUGCCGGCUGAGGGACAGGCCGGGGAGAGCCUAGCUCUCUCAUGCAUUAGAGAGCACCUGGCCCAUCUCCAUGCCAUCCUACCUCCAGAGAGUCAGAGAAGACCAGCAGCCCAGCUGCUUGGGAGCCUUCUUUUCUUGGCUUCUGGGGAGCAGCUCUGCUGCUGAACAGGGCUGGAGAGCUGUAAUUAUCGAGACCGGAUAAGAGCUAUUUUAGGAAGGAGCCACCCUGUUGCCAAGGCUUUUGACUUCCUAAACUAAAACAAGAUGCACAGAAAAAGGGGAUGAAGGUGGGGGAGAACAGGGAGGAGCCUGCUCAGUCAAAAACAUCAAAUCUUGACUGAAGGGAAAUAUUAACCCCUUCCCAAAGGUACAGAUUUGCAUCUAGGGGUGAGCAAAAGGCUAGCUAAGACACCACCAUCCCCUGGCUUUGGAAAGGAGGGCAUAACCUGAUCCGCUACCCAUCUCCCUGCAGACUCCCUCUCUAAGACCCUCCAAGAGCACUUACUCAGCCUGUUCCAUCUAUUUUGACAUUUGAGCACAAACUAUUUCAUAUUGUUGUUUAAAUGUUUCCUGUCUGUGUUUUAUCUCCCCAACCACAUGGCAAGUUUCUCAAGGCCAAGGAAUGUGUGUGCUGUGAAACUUCAAUUCUUCCCCUAAAAGUGCCUAGCAGAGUGCUAGGCAACUGAAUAAAAAUUGUUUAUGGAAGGAAGGGAGGGAGAGAGAGAGGAGGGAAGGAAGGAAGGGAGAAAGGGAGGGAGGGACUUACUGUCUUGCAUGGAGAUAAUCUCUGAAAGUAGCCACUCCCACCUAUAGCUGAGCUCAGGGCAUAAGGUUGGAUAAGAACCCAUGGCAGUGGCAGGUGGCAGCCUUGUUUCUGGUCACCUCCCCUUCAGCUGUUCCAUUAUCUGAGCUUAGGCUGACCCCCACUAUGCACUCAUUUGUUUUCUAUCUGUGGCCAACUGUCCAUCCUGAGUCAGCCUAUGAAUGGGACCUAUUAGAGGCCAUUGCUAGGCUUUGGGUAAUAGAGAAAUAUGGCAAGAGAAAAUAAUGGAAGUAGGAAGAGCUUUGACCAUCUUAUCAAACAUGGGCCAAGAAUAGCCAAAGUACUUAUGGGAACAAUGCAGCGAAAUCAGGACACUGCCAAAUCAGGACACGGGACUGCUGACAGCAGAGUCCACCUUGAGUUUUUCCAAGUUGAGGACCCAAAUAGUGUGUAACCCAAAAAAGCGACCCCUUUCUGGAAUGCCCCAGGCUGAAAAGAGGAGAACCAGGUGGGGACUGAUCCAACGGCUACCUAGACGGCCUUCCCACAGAGCACUUGGCAAGAGUCAUCAUCUGCCAAAAGGUCUCUGUUCUUUCUCGGACUGCAACUAGCUCAUACAGUGCUUUUGUGCAAAUCCCCCUCUGGGGAGAUGCGGUUCCACAGGUGCACAGCUUGGCAAAUGGAACACAGGUUAUAUUUCAGCCCCCCACUUGCCCCCUCUACCAGGUGCUCUUGUGCAGUGAACAAUCUGCCCAACCAUAGGGAGCAGCUCUGUCUCCCUCCAUGCCCACUCCCAUUACAGGACAGGAGAUGGAUUUGGAUUGUGGGGUGGGCCCAGGAAGACUGGGAGUAACCUCCCAGGGGCAUUCUUACCUCCUCAUCUGUCAUAACAGAGUAGAAGCCAGGCAUUCCCAGGGGGCAGCAAAUGGAAUUCAGAGAGUGCCAAUAGGAGGAGAAAAAGAGAAAUUUACUAAAGAUGCCCAGUGGACUUGGGCAAACCUGGCCCAAUCCCUUCCUAGUGCAAGUGGCCCAAACAACAGCAGCUAGUAUUUACUGAGUGCUCACUGUUGCCAAGCACCGUGCUAAGUGUUUUAUUGGUAAUAACUUGUAAUAAUCCUCACAAUAACCCUAAGAGGGAGCCAUUAUUCUCAGUAACAGAUGAGGAAACUGAGGCUUGGAGAGGUAAAAUAACUUACCCAAGGUCACAGUCAGAAAAUAGUGGACCCAGGGCCCAAAUCCAGUUAGAUAACUCGAGUUCGUACUUUACUAUGCCCCUACUUUAUAGAGCUUUGCUCCCUCUGAGGAGCAGGACUGCCCUUCUCUGCUCUUUGCUGACCAUCACUAGGAGGGUUCAUGCUGGUUGGGAUUGGAUGGAAUUCCCAGGGCUCUCUCCUCCCCAGGAACUGCUUUAUCCAUAGCCCUGGCCUCUGUCAUGCUCAUAGGGCUGGAGUAUAUUUUGGGCCACAAUGCUCACAGCAAGAAGUCCCUGCUGCCAAGAUUUACUCCUUGAGGUACUUCUCUUAAGGAUUCUAGAGCUGCAAGACACACUGAUGGCCUCAAGGGGGAGGCCCAGACAUCUCUGAAGAUCUUGCCUGGGCAGCACCAAUAAGUACCCCAGGUGGUAAACUUGGGGCAUGAGGAGGGUUCUGAGGAACCAGAGAAACACAUGAGAAGAGCCCCCAGCCUGAAUUAGCGUGAAGUCAACUCUGAGCAAGACUGUGAAGCAGGCGGUUUGCUUUGGUGUAUUUUUUAAAAUCAUGUGAUAGAUGACCAACUAAGCUGAAAAGGCCAUGAGGCUUAAAUUAUUCUCCAUUCCAGAAGUAACUUCCUGUUAAAAGGAGACUCUUGAAAAUGGAAAAGGUUCCAAGCCCCAAAGAAAUGACUCUAAUGGUGAAAUUUUCAGCAAGAUGAGAAGUUCCUCUGCUUCUUCAGGUCAAAAUCCCAGCAUUUAUCUCCUAAACGACCCAGCUCUGUAGAUACAUAGAUGCCACUCCUCACCUGUCCUCCCAUCCCCCAAGCUCCCACAGUGGGCCCAUAGGAGGGAAAAGCACAGACCUUUUAGCCACCAGAUGACACGAUUGUACAUUUCCUCAGAGACAUCUGAAAGUAACAGAGAGAUGGUUGCUUUUCUUCUCUCUGUGGGAUGCACAUCCCACUCUCCACUACUUGCAGCUCCCUUUCUAGCUCCACAUUUCUCCACUCAAAGGUGCCCUCAGCCCUUGGUCCUCUCCAAGAAGCUCCUCCAGCCUAGGACUAUAUAUCGUAUUCCCACUCUCCCUUUCUCUUUUUUACACCCUCUCUCUGUGCCACUGUGAAUGCCUUUCCCCUCCUGGAAUCCCAGCUCAUCUGCAUCCCACCCUCUCCACUUUGUAGCCAGAGUAUUUACCUGAGGCCCUUAUUCUAUUUAACAGCCCUUGCCAGCCCUCACCCCAGCUCAGUUCUUCAUCCCCACUCAGGAAGCAGCUUUCAACCCUGCAAGCCCCUCUCUACUACCUUCAAUUAAAAAGGUAAGCAGUGUUGCCUGGAGGAGUCAAUGCCUGUCGCCCGGCCCAAGCAUCCAUCAUCAAUGUCAUUAGCUUGGAGCACAGAGAAGCUGGCAGGGAAGGAAUGGAGCAAUAGGCUCAAGGAUAGGACUAGCUUUGGCACUGGCAGGAGAGCAGCCCUUAGGCCCAGAAUGAAGAGGUGGUCUUUCCUGCCCACCCCAACAUCCCAUCUCACUAAAUUGGGGCUGCACCUGGGCAGUCUGCUUCUUCACAUACCCAGGAAGAAAGCAGUAAACCUUUGAAUGGGUUGUUUGCAGGUGUGCUUGGGGGUCUGUGGCACUUCACUCAGUGGUGCCCAACUUGGAAACUCCUUUGGUGGUGAUGGUGGUGAUAGGCUUGCCUUCUCUCUCUGGAACUUCAGAUCCUCACAGAAAGGGCUAGAGUCUAUUUUAAAACCGGACAAUAAAAGAUCUAGGGAAGGAGAGC